Molecule: unclassified non-coding RNA, 182 nt
Filed under: Thelonectria rubrococca
Lineage: Eukaryota; Fungi; Ascomycota; Sordariomycetes; Hypocreales; Nectriaceae
Description: partial internal transcribed spacer 2
Source: RNAcentral
AACACCACUCAAGCCCCCGGGCUUGGCGUUGGGGAUCGGCAGCCGGCGCGGCGCCCCUCCGGGGGCACCGCCCGCCGUCCCCCAAAUACAUCGGCGGCCGUCCGCGGGCUCCCAAUGCGUAGUAGCAACACCUCGCACCGGAAGCCCCGAGCGUCCACGCCGUAAAACCCCCGACCUUUACC